This is a long non-coding RNA of Carassius gibelio (silver crucian carp), 1433 nucleotides long. RefSeq lists it as uncharacterized. NCBI's taxonomy places the organism in Eukaryota, Metazoa, Chordata, Actinopteri, Cypriniformes, Cyprinidae. The record is from RefSeq and is a predicted model, not a curated record. The transcript has 3 exons.
AAUGUAUUAAAUUUUGGUCUGUUCAUAAUACAAAGCAAUUGACGUCAGAAUUUUUUUAUGUUGCAUAUGAGCCAUAUAGAAUAUUUAUGGUUUUUAUGUGUCCUUUUUUGAAUCCUCAUUCAUUGUAACUGCAGGAAAAUAAUGACAUGGUUUGUGUUUCACAAAGUCAAACAGGAUUUGAAUGAAGAGGGUGAUGAAGUAAUGACUGCUUUUCCAUUUUGGAGUUAAUCCUUUAAGCAAAUUACUUCUCACUCCUCUAGUCUGAAUCUACUAGGGAAUUCUGGGAAAUGUAGUCUUUGCGAAGGGGAUUUGUUGGAAGUGAAUGCAUCGGUCUGGGGAGUUUGCAGUUGGCACGCUGUAAUUGCGGUGGUGGCAGUAGCGGUUUUAGGCACGGGCGAACCGGGCAGCCGCCCGGGGCGUCAUUUUUUCGUGACACAUUGGGGGCGGCGCCCCUGCUUGCUGAAAAUAUCCACUGAAGCUUUGUGUUGUGAGAGAAGUGUAAGGGAGUGGGGCGAGAGGCGCGUGCGACGUUUCACCUCUGGGUCUCUCUCAAAUGGAACGGACAGGGCGGGGGUGGACGGGGACGGGGGAUCCACACUAGUAAUAUAAUUAAUAAUAGACUAAAGUCAGUCACACACCUCGACUUUCUUCCAAAUAACGCACAUUUCAUUCAUAAUGUUAUAAUACAGGCCUAUAGUUCCUGCAAAUGAAACUAGGUAAUACAAAACGAUUAUGCGGUCAUCAAGGUGAAUUGGUUUAGUCUUGACUUCUGGUCCUGAGUGACAGUUGGGGGGAUGGGAAAUCUGUUGAUUGUCGAGUGCCAAAUAAACAGAGAUGGAGAAGAAAAGGUCAAAGCCAGGUGCCCAAUUUCGAAAAAAAAGAAAAGAAGAAGAGGAGAAACGAGCAAAAGAUAAAGGGGCACUUCUAAAAUAUUUUGGAGCAUCCUCUGCCACUGGUCAGGAUGAGCCAACCACCUCCUCCGCUACACACGUCUCCACAAAUAUCUGAUAUUGAGGAUGAAGACCUCUUUGCCUCUACUUCUACCCAGCAUGAGCUUUCAGAAAUGCCUGGAGCUGAACCCCCACUGAGCCCCACUGGCCCUCACAUCUGACUGACAGGAUUCGGACUGAGCUGCUUCACAGAGGACCAAGUAAAGUGCCACCUGGCUUUGUUUUCCGUAGGAAUGAGAGUAAUGGGAGAAGUUGCCACCACUAAUAUUUUAAGAAGACAUUAGUAAGUGGUGAAAAGAUGGCAAGAAGUUGGCUGAUUUAUUCAAUUAAGAACAACAGCCUCUUUUGCUUCUGCUGCAAAUUGUUUUCCAAGAGGAACAUCAAUUUAACAAGUGCAGGAAUGGCAAAUUGGAAACAUGCAUGCAAUGAUCUCACAUCAUAUGAAAACAGUUGUUAUAAUAAAAUAUUGCUGUUUGUGCAGAA